RNAcentral lists this ribosomal RNA (635 nucleotides) under Leifsonia sp. Ri3Pt_4381. Its description in RNAcentral is "bacterial SSU rRNA". It matches the Rfam family "Bacterial small subunit ribosomal RNA", at positions 378 to 1022 of the family's 1533-position model. Lineage: Bacteria; Bacillati; Actinomycetota; Actinomycetes; Micrococcales; Microbacteriaceae. The record is from RNAcentral.
GCAGCCUGAUGCAGCAACGCCGCGUGAGGGACGAAGGCCUUCGGGUCGUAAACCUCUUUUAGCAGGGAAGAAGCGAAAGUGACGGUACCUGCAGAAAAAGCACCGGCUAACUACGUGCCAGCAGCCGCGGUAAUACGUAGGGUGCGAGCGUUAUCCGGAAUUAUUGGGCGUAAAGAGCUCGUAGGCGGUUUGUCACGUCUGCUGUGAAAACUGGAGGCUCAACCUUCAGCCUGCAGUGGGUACGGGCAGACUAGAGUGCGGUAGGGGAGAUUGGAAUUCCUGGUGUAGCGGUGGAAUGCGCAGAUAUCAGGAGGAACACCGAUGGCGAAGGCAGAUCUCUGGGCCGUUACUGACGCUGAGGAGCGAAAGCGUGGGGAGCGAACAGGAUUAGAUACCCUGGUAGUCCACGCCGUAAACGGUGGGCGCUAGAUGUGGGGACCAUUCCACGGUUUCCGUGUCGCAGCUAACGCAUUAAGCGCCCCGCCUGGGGAGUACGGCCGCAAGGCUAAAACUCAAAGGAAUUGACGGGGGCCCGCACAAGCGGCGGAGCAUGCGGAUUAAUUCGAUGCAACGCGAAGAACCUUACCAAGGCUUGACAUACACGAGAACGGGCCAGAAAUGGUCAACUCUUUGGA